Molecule: non-coding RNA, 10811 nt
Organism: Cyanistes caeruleus (blue tit)
Lineage: Eukaryota; Metazoa; Chordata; Aves; Passeriformes; Paridae
Source: RefSeq, a predicted model, not a curated record
UUCCCCGGGCCUCACCUUCCCUCAGACCCCGGGUGCGCCCUCCCGGCCGAGCAGCCAAGCCUUUCCCACCUCUGUUCGCUAGCGACAAGCUCGGAACGGCUCGGGCAGCCCGAGCAGGGCCAGCUCUGAAGUGACCCUGGACCCCCUCUGACGAGGGCGCCCACCUGGUUACCCCCGUAAGGCCGCCGAACCGGAACCGGAGCCACACAGCCUUCUAUCAACUCAACUUUACUUUCAUCAUUUUUUUUUAACACAGUUUUUUUUCUAACUUGAGUGGCAAACAUGCAGUUAAGCUUAAAUGAACAUGUGAGCAUAGAUGUUACCUUAUACAAAGAAUUCAUUCACAAAGAAAUGAGAUUAAAAUCUAAUAGUAGAUUCUUGGGCAAAAUUUGGUCACCUAGAUGUAGAGACAGUUGAAAUCAAAGAGUGUUUUGUAUGUAUGUGCCCAUAUAUAUUUGGAGGGGGGAAAAGUCAAGUCCAAGGAGAAAAGGUUGGUACCUUUCACCACUGCACUGUCUCAGUUUACCUGGAACAUUAAACCACCGAAGUAUCAAAUGUGGAAGUGAGCUGGAUCAGUUAAAUGCAACCUUUCACUGUCACUGAAGGGAACAUUACAGCAUCACUGCACCAUUAUCAGAAAGGGAAGGUUAAAAAAAAAUAUAAAACUGGUCAUCAUCUUAAACACACAUGUACUGAAUAAAGCACUAACUUUAUUUUAUUUCCUCUCCAACCCCUAUUUUGAGUCUGUGAAGGGAGAAAAUGUUUGCUGCAGAGGAAGCCAUUUCCAAAAUCCACUAUAGGUGAACAGCAGUGGUCUAACAGUGCAAAUAGAGAGUAAAUUGUGCAGGGGUUUGAUGCCACCCACCAGCAAUGACAGAACUCCUUGCAGGCUACACAAAUCAAGGCAGAAUGAUGAUUUGCUUCAAAAUGAGGGGAUAAAAACACAAUGUUCACUAAAUCUAAGGAUACUGAUCACUGAUUUAAGUCUCUUUAGGGCAGGAAUGGUGAUAACAGGCGUGAAUGGGAUUAAUCAUUUCAGUCAGGCCUCCAAAGGCCAUCACUGGACCAACAUUGUUCAGUAUGCACAAUCCAUGCUCUCUUUGACUUCAAGUGGUGGACAAGGAUAGGAUUUAUUCUGAGAAUUUCCCAUAAUACGGUAUGUAUCUUGUGUAAAAUUCCUCCGUAAUUAUAGGUCCAGAAAUAAAACAAUCUCAGAGCCAGCAAAGGUUCCAAUAAGGAAGCAAUCCUAAUGUUGUUGACCAGCCAAUAGUGACUGACACCUGCUGGGUACUCACCUGCCUCUUGGCAUGAGCUGCUGCAAACAGCAGAGGCUGGUUCAGCCCUGCUAGAAAUUUCACCUCCAUCACUGCUGUGUUUAGCUGGCCAUCUUCCAUAGCACUAGAAAGUAUAGAAGUAUAGAUAUGGAAGUCAGAAGCCUCUUUUACACACAUAUCCACUUUAAUGUGCCACAACCAUCUUAUUCUUCUAUCCAAUAAUUUUUUUUCAGCUGUUUUUAUUCCUCCCCAGCUGCUGUCAUUCCAAGGUGUAAAUGAAAUGAUGAGUGGGUGUUUCUCCUCUCACGCACAUAAGUGACUUUGGACAACUUGGGUGGCAGCACUGACAAACUUGAAGUGAGCAUGCACCUCUUCUUUCCUCUCUCAUGUGAGAGAGGAAAAUAACGCCUGGGAGUGAACAUCUGAAAGUUCACUGAAGCACUUAAUAAAGACGACAUUUCAAAAUUGCAGUAAGAUGCAACAGCAACAUCUACCAACAGCUGCCUCUUAGGAUCUUACCAAACCUUGCUCUUGCCAGAAGAUUCUCUGGGAUAGAACUUCAUAUUUAUCAAAAUACUACUCAUUUAAUGAGAAAGUUGGAGACAAAGAAUAAGAGAUCCCUGAGGUGCAACACUGGAUGCUUCAUGGCAGAGGGUGGUGGAAUUGGCCUCCACCUGCAUGUCACUGCCUCUUCUAUGACAGUGUCUAGCCAACAAUCACUUCCAUCAAAACAGCCUUUCUCAGUGCUGCAGGGAGAAAAUGCAUUGCACAGAAGGGAAAGCAGAUCAGACUUUGCAAUACUUUCCAAAAUACCAUCCAUUUGCCUCGACUAGUGCUGGCCACAGGGGACAGAAGCUUGUCAGAUAGUGGGAAGCAAGGAGAGACACACAGAGAUGUUACACAGGAUGUGCAGAAGUCACCAAGGAAAACAGAACUCUCCUCAUUACCUGUGAAGAGGUAACAAACACCCAGCUGGCUGCAAAGUGAGCAGCAGGGCUCUGACAGAUGUGCUGAAUGCUGCUGUGGGACCUCAUGGCUGCACUCCAGGUGGCCUCAGGGCUGUUGUGCCUCUUUCUGCUCCAACACAGGUCUGGAAGAGAUAGAGCAAAGGCUGAUGUGGCUCAUCAGGAGGAUUUAGGAGAUCUGCCAGUAGGAUACCCUAUAUCCUCCUCAAACACUAUUGAGCUGCUCAUAGCUGUUGGUUGAUUUAUUUGAACAGAUACAUACAUAGAUAAACUUACACAUUUUUACCAACUUGAAAAAAAGUUGCAUAAAACCUGGGAAUUAGCAUUAGUAAUGGAAUAUCAACCUUUUUACUAUUGCUAAUCAGUUUUUUUAAGUUUAUGAUCCUUGGACACAGAGAGACCCUGAACUGGGGCAAAGGAGAAGCUACAAGUACAGUAUACUCCAUGAUUUUCUGUGGUUUGUAUUCUGUAAAUACUUGCACUUGUGCUCUGACAAUAGUAUUAAUCUGGGCAAGUGAAAAUUGUCAUCAUCAGUGCUUAGAGACAAGCAAGCUGAGAAGUCAAAAAAAAUAAAAAAAGUAGUUCUAUUUAUGGGAGGAACACCUGUGGGUAUGACAGAUGUCUAUGUCAUGGCUUCUAUCCAUGGAGCCAAAUAGCACUGCAGAGGUGAUUUUGCAGCCUUACAGUCUUGGGAAUAACUUUAAGAGAACUUGUAACUAUUUGUCCUUGCUUUAGAUAUUUUUCUCCUCAGAGUUUUCAAGAUAAUGCUCAGAAACUGACAAUCACAUUUACAUCAUCUUACAGAAACUAUAAUUUCUGCCAUGAUUUUGCUUGUUGCUUCCAAAUAUGUCAAAUCCCCUGCAUGCUACUUGUUUCUAAACAGGCAAUGUGCAAGAUUUUAGUCAAUUUCAAUGCACCUUUUUGGUAUUUGAAUCCAGGUGCAUAACAACUAAAAACUCAUGCAUACUGAAACCAGUUGAAAACUGGUAUGAAGGCUGAAGCCUACAGUGUCCAUUUGUUUCUUCACACAGUUUGCUAUGUCCUAAGACUUCAGAUUUUCCAGCUUCAACAUCUUUUGUGUUGAACUCUAUAAAAUAAGCUAAAGAAUUAUAUUUUAUCUCAGCAUUUUUGCUGAACUGGAAUACGUGUGAAAAUUUCUCUUCUCCUAAAAAAAGGCACUGUAGAAGGGGUGUAUUUUUCUGUAUGUAAGAAACACCACUAUGCCUAUAGUUCACUUACAAUAAUAAAAUGGAUGGACAGGUUCUCAGUGAGCAUUCAUAAUAUGGUGUUCACACUGAUAUAGAUAGAAAUCCUGGGAAAUAGAGAUAAGAUUUUUAUCUGAGAAAAUAGUUUAUUUUCAUUUAAAGAAUCUUACUUGCUCUUACCGGGAUUUAUAAGAGUAUUUAUUUUUCAGUAUACAUGAUCUUUAUCUUACCUGUCAAGUUCUCCUUACUGCCUGAAAUAAAACCAGUGCCUUCCUAGUGGCUGGACUGUGGUCUACAAACCAAGACAAAUCCUAAUAAUACCUGUUAAAAUGUCUCUCCACAUUUCUCUGGGAUGAAUCAGAAUUGAUGUGUGCAGUAAGUACUUUGUUAUGCAUUGUCCCCCCUUCUGCCUAGGCUGAAUCCUGGUUACUUCUGCCAGGAGAGUCCUGCUUUUCAGCACUUCUCUUCUACAGGUCCAUUUGCAACUUUGUGAAAUGUUAUGGAUUUUUUUCCUCAAGACCAUUCCAGUUGAGUGUUGGCUCAUGCAAACUCCUUGGAAGGGUAUCCCAGCUUCUCUCUGAAUAGUGAACAUCCCAGCCCAUUUUCCCCUGAAAUUUGCUGGGAUAUAGCUUUGAGUCUAACUAAAUACUCAUCAGCCUCCAAUGGAUCAUUAAGCUAAACUAUUCUGUCUAUUUUAAGGUAUUAGAAAACAAAACACUGUGAUUUUUAAGCCAUGAAACAAACCAGUUCCAAAGUAAAUAAAUAACUCAAGGGUUUUGAACUGCAAACAUCACAUGCAAAAGAGAGGACUAUGCUGUCUUUCUGUUAGUGGUGUCAUUUUAAUAUAACUCUUCCUUGUCACAAGAUCUUUCAUGAAAACAGUCCUUUACUCAAAUAGCAUUAUCUGAGGGAGGAUGAAGUUAAAGAGCUGUGACGGAGUGAAGGAAAAAAUUUAAAAAGUUGUAUUAUCAAAAGGAAUCUCAAAAUUAUCAAAAGUGUGACUCAUUCAGUUAUUUCAUGCCAGUAUAAGCCCAUAUUUGCACCAUAUUUUUAUUGAUUUUCAUCAUAUGAAAAUAAUGCUUAAUUUUGAGUUUAAUGUGUUCUGUAUAAAGACAGAAAGAUAUUUAGAAGUAUAAUUGUAAUCAUCUGCCUAUAGCACAGAAUAUUAUACCUGGAUGAAUUUUAUUGCCUUUCUUCAUGGUAUUCUGAAGCAGCAGCAGAAAUUUGGAGAUACUGCAGUCUUCCAAGGAAGAAAUAGAAUAGAUGAAGCAGAUGACUGUCAUAUCCUGGACAGUGAGGUGGUUUUUUUUUUUGAUUAAGCACAAUUUAAUUAACUUUUGGGUUACUUGUGUAGCAGUGGCUGUUCAGUAUGGUGAGGGGAAAUGUUGCACUUAAAAUUAUUAUACACCAGGGUAUAAUAAGGGGUUGGAAAGAAAAAUGUCUGGAAAUCAAGAAGGAUGAGAGUUACUAUUCCUCUUGCAGCUUUACUGUGGUGUGCUUAUUGCACACUCUCUUGUGCGUGGUGGCAUGUGUUUAUAGGCAGUGCUCUGCCCAGGACCUUCCUCCUUCAGAUCAUGGGAUGAACCUGCUUGCAGAGUGAACCAAGGCCGUGCAAGUUGCUAAACCAACUCCUGUGUCUGUUGUAGGAACUGGAAAGCACUCAGCAGAUGAGUCAGAAAAGAUGAGCUCAUGGCUCAAGCAGAUUAAUGCUGCAGGGGAUACACUUUUUCUGUCACUGCCUCAGCCUCAGAAGACUGUGAAGGGCUACAAGUCACCUCCUGUAACUCUUUGCACUAGUAAGCUGCAUUUGAUGAAAUCCACGGUUGGAUUUGUCUGAGCACUGAGCUGCAAAGGGUGCUUGCCCACAGCAAUGACUGCUCUCAAAACCUCAGGCUAGUCCUUGUGGCCCAGCUGCUCCAUCCCACUGGAACAGGUAACAGCGGGUAAAAGUGAGCAGAGGCCCCUUCGUAUUCGGGAUUGCCCUCCCACAUGUUUCAUCAGGCUAAUACUGUAAACAUGAAAAUCAUAGAGCUUAAUGGUUUAGAGCUCUCUAAUGCCACAGAAAUACGAAUUUCCACUUUGGAGGCACUGGUAUGUGCAGUAUGGAGGAGCUGCCAGAGUUGCUAACUAUUUUGCUUUGCCCCAAAACACACCAAGCUCUAAUCUAGACUGGAGCCAGCAGUAGAACAAAAACCACCCUGAAGAUGCCUGAAGAUGGUUUUGCAGCAUCAGUAGCCUUUGUGCUGAAAAAAAAAAAAAAAAAAAAAAAAAGCAUUCAGAUAGUAUUACUAAUCAAAAGUAUUAUUUUUUGCAAAGCAAACACCAUCCCUACAGGAAGCCUUGACUUUGUGUCAGACCAUUAAAUUGCAAUAUUGUGUUGCCUAUGGACACCUUAGUGUAGCUUUCAUUUAAAUGGUAUUUUCGGUGGAAAUAGAUUGUACAACCACAAAUGGCAUACAGAUUCUCAGGCUGAGUGAUCACCUGGCAAACUCAUGUCAGAUACCACCUUUUAUUCCAUGAUCCCCUGAUCCAUACAAAGCUCUCUGCUGAUCUCCACUGUCUUCAGUGGGUUUGUUUGUAUAAACUGUAAGUCAAACUGGCAUCUGGAUAAACAUAAACUGCAUUUGAAGCUUUUUGGCCAGCCUUAACCUGAAUACCAAAGAAAGAUUAUGCCUCCAUAUGUAAGUUUUUUUUAGUACUGCUCUCCCCUAAGUCUUUUUGAGACUGUGCAUUCUCCAGCAAUCCUGAAUAAAAUCCUUCACAUUUCCAAGACCAACAGAUCUUUUAAGACAAUGCAAGGCAACGAUCUUAUUUUAAAGACAAGCAAAGGGAGGAAGAUAUGAAAGCUGUCUAAAAAUCUGGUUUAGCAAAUGGAGUUCACAGUCCCUACUUAUCUCUUUGGACCUAAGUAUCUAAUGUGAGCAUUUUCAUUCUGCUUUAAUUCAGAAAAAAGUGUUCAUUUAAAAAAAAAUGAACUGUAAAUACAAAGAUAUUGAGUCCACGAUUAUGAUACUGACAACAUUAUUUUUGUAAUAAUCACAAUAGAUUUAUGGAAUAUUUUUUUGUAGCACAACAGUCCUCUGUUUCAAAUCACUGAAAAUUUCAGGCAAGACUAGCUUAACUGUUUUACUGCUGAUGAAACUAAGUUAACUGUCCAAAGUCUAUGCUGCUGAAGAAUGGUCUAGCAAAGGGAUAGAGCUCUAAAACCCACAGACACUGCAGUCUACCACUUGUGAAAUACUUACCAGUAAUAUUCAUUCAUGGGAAAAGCAGAAAUCUGAGAUACAACAUUUGUUUCACUUCUGUCUGUCCACAAAAAAGCUAGAAAUUAUAUUACAGUUUUUAAGUCCAUUUCAAAUGCAAUCACUUUAAUUCAAUAAGCACCUUUAUAAAAAAAAAAUUUCUGCUAAAGCUACGUGAUUCUUGAAUAAAAUUUUAUAUGUAAUAUUAACAGAAAUCUUUACAGAUAUUUGGCUGUCAAUAUUUUUUUUGUUUCAGAAGGUGAAAAUUCACCAUGAGGGCCACUUGUAUUGCUAGCAAUUAGUCUUUCUAGCAAUUGAUGUAGUAUAUAAGUUGUUUUCUUUUAUUUCAAGUUCAUGCAGUAUCUUGGUUGUCCAUUCACUGCAUGUUUGAUAAUCUUAAGAGAAAAGUAUAACCAAAGUGUAACACUGCAGCAGUAGUUUUGAUUCUCUGAAUGUCCACAUAUCAUCAGCCUGUCUGAACUACCCCAUAUUUCUGGAGGAUGACCUCCCAUGUUACCUACCUGCAAGAGAAAGUAACAUUAUAAUGUUUGAGCCCCUCUGCUGCAAAUUUAUGCACAAGACUGGACACUUCAACUCUAAUUUUCACUAAAGGAGAGAGAAUUUUCCAGAUACAUCCAUUCCAUUACAAGCUCAGCUGGGAUUUGAUUGUACCAAACAACAGAAGGCCCAUUGCUAACAGUUUGUAGCUGUUUAGGGCUGGCAAGAAAAGGAUCAUAGACUCUGCAAAGAGAAUAUUCACGUGGAUGGCUACCGCAACAAAGCCAUGGCAAGCUCUGAAAGGAGUGUGAGAAAAAGCUAUUUUGACUUUUGUAAAGGUAAUGGCCAAAAAAACCCCAAAAAUACCCUAGAAAAUGUACAACCAGCAAGAAGGCAACAACCAACAUAAUGCUGCACGUUUGCACUCUGAAAUAACAGUGCAACUCACUAGAGUAGAAAUUCCAGGUACAGCAGAACAGCACUUGCUGUAUUUUCAGCUAAGGAAACAACUGCAGCAUCAAAUUUACCAGAGAAGCCUUAGCGUUCUGUUCCAGGGACUGCAGGAUCAUGUCCAGGGAGGCUACAGUUGCUGGUGACCAGCAUGAGAAUUCAACAAGACCCGUCUCUUGUUGAAUUCUUGUUUAAUCUCAGGAAAAAAAAUCCUGUUUAAAGCUCAGGAAACCAUUUAUUCAGCUUAAAUCAGAGACAGAGCCCAGAACAAAGGCAGGGUGGGGGUUUUAUGAAGCAGAGCCAGGGUGGAGUUUAAGGUUGGGCACUAAUUGGGACAGAGCAAGGGAGAAACCUCAGGGGCACAAACCCAACCAGAACACCCUGGACUGCCACCCCAAGAGGGCCCUGGGUGGGACAACUCUUCCCAGGCUCACAGGACACAUCCCCUGAGGCAGAGGGUGGAAUCCACUCUUCCUGGGCUUUAAAACCACAUCUCUCCCUUUAACAAUGCUUACCUGACUCUAAAUCUUUGCCUCCCUGGGCAGAGGCACCUUGCAUGAAGCAAAGCUAAAGCACCGAGGUGUUGUUUUGCCACACACUGAUAGGGAAGCUAGGCUUGGCAGGAGGUUUUGGUCAAGGCUGUGAUGAGUAGUGAGUCCAGUCAAUAGGUUUUUGAUUACUCCCUUGCCCCCAAUUCAGGGUCCUGAAGUGCAAGAUAAAAAAUAAGAUUUCACAGGGAUUCCUGGCACACAGACUUCACUCUGUUGGUUAGGUUUCUCUACAAGACAUCACACAGUUACAUUGAACUAGUUUGUCUUGGCUUGAGAUCUUCUGCAAAACUCCUCAAGAUUCUUCAGGACUCAGGAUUCAGGUGGCUUAGACUGUUAGGUUUUGCUCUCCCACAGGUGUAUACAGCUGCUGAUGCUAGAGGCAAGAGUAGGACAAAGGAGGCUGAAGAUCUGAAAUUUGGCAGGCAAUGAUUGCCUCUGGUGGAGAUUAGAGCCAGUUUGUGCAGAAACACUUUAUCUGAACGGUAUUUAUUUGUGCACUGUGGGUGCUAAUACAACUCAGACCUAUCUUCACCAGCUGCAUGAAGGUCUGCAGAGACUCUUAGGAAGUUUCUUAUUCUCUCAAAGCAAUUCCCAUUAAUUUCUAUACAAGAUCCAAAGUGAUAUCAUGGGCAGGUCACAGAUUAAAUAUGCAAAUGAUAACUGUAGCUUCCCAUUAGUGAAACACUUUUACAGAGAUGCCUUGCAAAUUUAGACAAAGUUCAGUGUAUUCAAGCCUGAUCAGAGAUCACAGUGAGUGAGAAUAGUCAGCAUUUUAAAAUCAAUUGCAGCUUUCAUGAGCUAGGUGCAAUUUUCAGAGCAAUCACAUCAAUUCUGCAGAUAAUCAUUCUGCAAGAAACGAAUAUAAAUUGUAUGAUACCAAAGAGAGAGAAAAAGCCAAUUCCUUUUAAGUUCACAUGAUUGUAAGUGAAAGACAGCAAGAACCAUCAGGGAGACACUUUUCACAGAAGUUCAGAUAUCAGGUAUUUAAUUAGACUCAGAUCAUAUGUAUGUGACUGAAAAUGUGUCAUGCAUAGGAAGAACUUCCACAAGAGACUAGGCUGAUAAUCUGUACUUUAAGAAAAUCUGUAGAGAAAUCAUCCUGGCCACAAAUAAUCACAAACUGACUGCUGCAGACCUGCAUAAAGGAUAAUUUGCGCAUAAAACAUCUUAAAAUAUACAUUCAAUGAGGCUGUAGUUUCUAUAUGACAAAAAAACCUCUCUGGCAGACCUUGCCCAUCAGAGAUGUGCAAUUUACAUUUAAUAAAAACAACCUACAAUAAGUUUUUGGGUUGCUUGGUUUUAUUUUCCAUCCAUCUGACUAAGAUGAAGUACAUGUCACAUUUAGGAUCUAUACUAGUACAUUUUGGCAACAAAUUUUUAGAGCUAUAUUAACAGCUAUAGGUUUUAAAGUUGCUUGACUUCUUGUGCCAAGAAGAGAGAGUGAUGGGUUGAUCAUGGGAAAGAUGUUGGUACCAGGGAGAGUUAAAUGUAUGUAAGUAAUCCCAUUUCCAUAUAAAUGAGAUACCAGAUAGAGAACACACUUGCAUUUCUUCUUUAUCCAGUUGUUACAGAAUCUACUAACAUGUCUCUGGGGACUUCUAUUCAGCCACCAGCCUGCAGGAGAAUAAACAAACCCAGAUUUUCAUCUGUAUGAUUUGAGUACACAGUUCCAAAAAAGACUGUAAACAAGAGCUCUUUAUGACCCAAACGUAUUUCUGAAAAUGCUACUUGAUGAAGUUUACAAAUUUUCUUGUGCUUUUCUGUACUAACAUUUCUCCUGGCCUCCAAUGCUUCUCAUGAAUCCCUGAAAUGCAGGUAUAGGAGGUAUAGUGAAACAAUUCAUCUAGAAGAAUGAUAGCUUAGCUUAGUCCAGAAAUGAACCUGACUUACGUUUGAACAAGACCGAGAAUUAAAGGACAGACUUUGGAGACUCUGCUUUAAGCUGGAGAGAUAAAUUAUUUUUAUACUUGGAUGUUCCUGUUCACAUUAUUCUUGAUGUCAUUAGUUUAGCAACUUAAUAUUUGAACAAUCAUGAGAUAAGAAUAGGAUUUCAGAAUUGCUUCACAUCUAUAUCAGUAAAUUACAGGCUAAGUUGCAGAAGUUCUCUAACUUCCAGUUUGUCAGGAAAUAGAGAUGUGAUAGUUUAUCAUUAAACCACCAGAGAUGUUUGGUUUUUUUUCUCUGUGUGAACUUUUCUCCCUAAGUAGUCAAAUUCCUUUCAUAUUCACAUACCUGUGGACCAUGAUCAAGUUACCUCUUAACCUCAACUGCAACAAGCAAACAGAUUAAAUUUUAUAUCUUUUUCCUGACAUUUUAAAUUUUUUCUUAAACUCUUUUGAGCAAAGAAUAGUACAAAAGAAUUUUAGCUCUAGAGCAAGUUGUUUUAUUCCUGCAGAGGUGGUAUUAAUAACCUGUACAGAAAGAGCAUAUUCUUUCUGCUCAUGCAAUAUUGCUCUGCUUAUACAUCCUUUGGUCCAAGACCAGGCAGUUUCUUUAUUGUCACAAACAGGUAUUUGAAAUGUGCUACAAUGCACAUCAGACCAGUGUACUGUGUGAUUCCCCUUCCUUCAGGUGACAAAAUACAAAUCCACAAUUUAAUCAGAUUUCAGUCCCUCUUUUUGUCCUU